Amphiprion ocellaris (clown anemonefish) is the source of this 511-nucleotide long non-coding RNA. The record is from Ensembl. Lineage: Eukaryota; Metazoa; Chordata; Actinopteri; Pomacentridae.
GGGUGUGAUAUAUUUUGAAAUAACCGAUUCCAGUGGCACCUCAAUCCCAUCCAGGGUAAUUACUUCAUCUUUGUGCUCCUUCAUCCACUCAAAGGUCUUCUUACCUAAAUCCCCUUGAGUCUUGAUCACAGUGAUGAGUGCAUUAAUGGCAGCAACCUUCUUUUUCACAUCUGAACUUUUUUGGGGGUCUUGGUGGGAUGUUUUGUUGAGGACCUUAUUUACUCCCCACAAGAUAACACCCAUAGCUAUAUUUUGCCCAAUAAACAUUGCUACCUUCGGUAGGUAUGUUUUGGUCAGCUCAGCGAGGAUUCUGAAAGACUCUCGAAUUCUGGAGAGCACUUUAACCUUUCUGCGGUUUUCAGCCGAUUCUUCUUUUAGUUCUUGUCUUUCUUCUUCUGUUAAAUCUUCAGUGUCUCUUUCAACACUAUCUAUAGUGUCUUCAGCAUCGUCAAUCAUGUUAUCCAUUUCUCCCAUUUCAGUUUCCAUUGUUUGGAAUGGUAGGACUCUGUUA